RNAcentral lists this ribosomal RNA (253 nucleotides) under uncultured bacterium. RNAcentral's name for it is "partial 16S ribosomal RNA". It matches the Rfam family "Bacterial small subunit ribosomal RNA", at positions 524 to 776 of the family's 1533-position model. The record is from RNAcentral.
UACAGAGGUCCCAAGCGUUGUUCGGAUUUACUGGGCGUAAAGGGUGCGUAGGCGGUUGGGUAAGUCUGACGUGAAAUCUCCGGGCCUAACCCGGAAACUGCGUUGGAUACUAUUUGACUAGAGGACUGGAGGGGAGACUGGAAUACUUGGUGUAGCAGUGAAAUGCGUAGAUAUCCAGUGGAACACCAGUGGCGAAGGCGAGUCUCUGGACAUUUCCUGACACUGAGGCACGAAGGCUAGGGGAGCAAACGGG